GACGAACGCUGGCGGCGUGCUUAACACAUGCAAGUCGAACGGAAAGGCCCUGCUUUUGUGGGGUGCUCGAGUGGCGAACGGGUGAGUAACACGUGAGUAACCUGCCCUUGACUUUGGGAUAACUUCAGGAAACUGGGGCUAAUACCGGAUAGGAGCUCCUGCUGCAUGGUGGGGGUUGGAAAGUUUCGGCGGUUGGGGAUGGACUCGCGGCUUAUCAGCUUGUUGGUGGGGUAGUGGCUUACCCAGGCUUUGACGGGUAGCCGGCCUGAGAGGGUGACCGGCCACAUUGGGACUGAGAGACGGCCCAGACUCCUACGGGAGGCAGCAGUGGGGAAUAUUGCACAAUGGGCGGAAGCCUGAUGCAGCAACGCCGCGUGCGGGAUGACGGCCUUCGGGUUGUAAACCGCUUUCGCCUGUGACGAAGCGUGAGUGACGGUAAUGGGUAAAGAAGCACCGGCUAACUACGU
Molecule: ribosomal RNA, 467 nt
Filed under: uncultured bacterium
Lineage: Bacteria
Description: partial 16S ribosomal RNA
Rfam family: Bacterial small subunit ribosomal RNA
Source: RNAcentral